RNAcentral lists this ribosomal RNA (861 nucleotides) under uncultured Anaerolineae bacterium. Its description in RNAcentral is "bacterial SSU rRNA". It matches the Rfam family "Bacterial small subunit ribosomal RNA", at positions 58 to 926 of the family's 1533-position model. Lineage: Bacteria; Bacillati; Chloroflexota; Anaerolineae. The record is from RNAcentral.
CAGGUCGAACGAGGUGCUUUUGUAGCAAUACGAGAGUAUCCUAGUGGCGAACGGGUGAGUAACGCGUUGGUGACCUACCCCAAAGUGUGGGAUAACAGUCCGAAAGGAUUGCUAAUACCGCAUGUGGUCAUUGGAUUUAGAAACUGAUGACUAAAGGAGCAAUUCGCUUUGGGAGGGACCUGCGUCCCAUCAGCUAGUUGGUGAGGUAAUGGCUCACCAAGGCGACGACGGGUAGGGGACCUGAGAGGGUGGCCCCCCACAAUGGAACUGAAACACGGUCCAUACACCUACGGGUGGCAGCAGUAGGGAAUAUUGCACAAUGGGCGAAAGCCUGAUGCAGCAACGCCGCGUGUGUGAUGAAGGCCUUCGGGUCGUAAAGCACUUUUCUGGGAGAUGAGAAAGGACAGUAUCCCAGGAAUAAGUCUCGGCUAACUACGUGCCAGCAGCCGCGGUAAAACGUAGGAGGCAAGCGUUAUCCGGAUUCACUGGGCGUAAAGCGCGUGCAGGUGGCGCGGUAAGUUAGGCGUGAAAUCUCCCGGCUCAACUGGGAGAGGUCGUCUAAUACUACCGUGCUUGAGAGCAGAAGAGGAAGAUGGAAUUCCCGGUGUAGUGGUGAAAUGCGUAGAUAUCGGGAGGAACACCAGUGGCGAAGGCGAUCUUCUGGUCUGUUUCUGACACUCAGACGCGACAGCUAGGGUAGUAAACGGGAUUAGAGACCCCGGUAAUCCUAGCCGUAAACGAUGUGAACUUGGCGUUGGUGGGGUUAAACUCCAUCAGUGCCGUAGCAAACGCGAUAAGUUCACCGCCUGGGGACUACGGCCGCAGGGUUAAAACUCAAAGGAAUUGACGGGGGGCCCGCAC